CCUGGCUGGGGUCAUUAGNAUUUGUUUUUUGUUUGUUUGUUUUACAAAAACUACCUUAGAGGACGAGAACAGUUAGCAUAAUCUUAAUUGUUUCAAUACAAGAGAUUAUAUUGUCCAAGUAAACAUCCAGAACGAAGGCAACGCUGUGCCUUCUCUUUCUAUACAGGGCAGCGGGCAGCUAUGCAAAAGAAUGUGGCAGCGUCUUAAAAGACAAAUUUAUAAAGGCAUAAGCUUUGGAGAACCGUAACAAACUUGUUACUGUUGAAGAAACUGGUCCAAUACAGAUUCUAGUUUUAAUUGUUUUACGUAUCUUCUACACUCACUCGCAAAAAAAAAAAAAAUGUUCAGCGGUGUCCCAUUUCACGAGAAAACGCCACCUGCGCUCCUUUGUUUUACUGUGGCAUGUGAAUGGGGAUCUGUUCGUCUGCCAACCACCCUAAUCUGAUAGCACUGCCGCUUCAAAGAUACGCCAACCCCUGUUUGUUCUACUCGGAAAAUGCAAGAAUCGGAAAUCUCCAGGGAGUGAUUUCCCCAGAAAGAGGAGGGGAUGAAUCACUAUAUCGCUUCCUACACGAUUCCACCGGAGGGCGCAGAAGGAAGAACAAAGGGUCGCUACCGGUGCAAGCCUAACACGGCGCCCGGUGUGACGGCGGCUGCUCCAGUUCACCAGUCCCUCCAGACGGCAUAUUACGUUCCAGCCACGAGACGAGCCGGCGGGAGGUGGGGAAUCGGUCGCAGCUUGAUUUGUUUGCAAAUUCUCGGAAAUGGCUGAUGCUGCAAAACAGCCAUCCCCGUCUGGCUGUGUGUGCUCCUGCGUCCCUCUCCGUCCUUGCCCUGCCUGGAAGCAGCUGAAACAAACAAACGAAAAGAUCGCCGACUCCUGAUCUUCUCGGUUCCAGGGAAGCGUCUUUUCUGGUCGCCGCGUGAGCCUGAUGUUACACGAGUCCCAGCGCUGCAGAGUCGCGCUCCUUGCCGCCUUCGCCUAAGCUCGCUCGGAUCCCCCUGUCUGGUUUCUCUGCUUCAUAGUCAGUGGACAGUGGCUUCUCUGCCUAGAUCGUUCGCCCAGAGUAGAUGAAGUUUCACCCGAGAGAAAUAGGGUAGGGCGGGAAGAGAAAUGGAUACAAGGAACGAACGGGCAGAGAAAGAAAGAGAGACAGAGAAUGAAAACGGGGGCUCCUGCAGACUGGCUCUCCUCUCGAAUUAGUUUCACGUUACAACUUGAGUUUGUUGCGGAGAUAAUGAAGGACGGGANGGGG
RNAcentral lists this long non-coding RNA (1256 nucleotides) under Salvator merianae (Argentine black and white tegu). RNAcentral's name for it is "lncRNA (ENSSMRG00000020683.1)". The record is from RNAcentral. Lineage: Eukaryota; Metazoa; Chordata; Lepidosauria; Squamata; Teiidae.